UUAAGUUCAGCGGGUAUCCCUACCUGAUCCGAGGCCAAAAUUGUGAAGAUAGCUUCUGGGAGCCAAUACGACGGGCCCGAGUUCGCGUUUCUGCUGCGCUCGAAGCCAAUGUACCGGCCGCCAAUGAUUUUGAGGCGAGUCCGCGUUGAAGCGGACAGUCACCCAACACCAAGCUGAGCUUGAAGGUUUAAAUGACGCUC
RNAcentral lists this unclassified non-coding RNA (200 nucleotides) under uncultured Ascomycota. RNAcentral's name for it is "sequence contains ITS2". Lineage: Eukaryota; Fungi; Ascomycota. The record is from RNAcentral.